RNAcentral lists this ribosomal RNA (492 nucleotides) under uncultured bacterium. RNAcentral's name for it is "partial 16S ribosomal RNA". It matches the Rfam family "Bacterial small subunit ribosomal RNA", at positions 30 to 507 of the family's 1533-position model. The record is from RNAcentral.
AUUGAACGCUGGCGGUAGGCCUAACACAUGCAAGUCGAACGGCAGCACAGUAAGAGCUUGCUCUUACGGGUGGCGAGUGGCGGACGGUGGAGGGAUACAUCGGAAUCUACUUUUUCGUGGGGGAGAACGUAGGGAAACUUACGCUAAUACCGCAUACGACCUACGGGUGAAAGCAGGGGAUCUUCGGACCUUGCGCGAUUGAAUGAGCCGAUGUCGGAUUAGCUAGUUGGCGGGGUAAAGGCCCACCAAGGCGACAAUCCGUAGCUGGUCUGAGAGGAUGAUCAGCCACACUGGAACUGAGACACGGUCCAGACUCCUACGGGAGGCAGCAGUGGGGAAUAUUGGACAAUGGGCGAAAGCCUGAUCCAGCCAUACCGCGUGGGUGAAGAAGGCCUUCGGGUUGUAAAGCCCUUUUGUUGGGAAAGAAAAGCAGCAGGUUAAUACCCCGCUGUUCUGACGGUACCAAAAGAAUAAGCACCGGCUAACUUCGUG